RNAcentral lists this ribosomal RNA (1319 nucleotides) under metagenome. Its description in RNAcentral is "bacterial LSU rRNA". It matches the Rfam family "Bacterial large subunit ribosomal RNA", at positions 1563 to 2925 of the family's 2925-position model. The record is from RNAcentral.
GGAUUGGGAGGGUUCUACGGAACCCGUUUGGUGAAUCUAGUGCCGAGAAAAGCCUUCUAUGUGUUGAAUUUCUAGUACCCGUACCCCAAACCGACACAGGUGGGUGGGUAGAGCAUACCUAGGGGCGCGUGAUAACUCUCUCUAAGGAACUCGGCAAAAUGGCCCUGUAACUUCGGGAUAAGGGGUGCCUGCGUGAGCAGGCCGCAGUGAAAUGGCUCUGGCGACUGUUUACCAAAAACACAGGUCUCUGCUAAGUCGUAAGACGAUGUAUAGGGGCUGACUCCUGCCCAGUGCCGGAAGGUUAAGGAAGUUGGUUAGCGCAAGCGAAGCUGGCGACCGAAGCCCCGGUGAACGGCGGCCGUAACUAUAACGGUCCUAAGGUAGCGAAAUUCCUUGUCGGGUAAGUUCCGACCCGCACGAAAGGAGUAACGAUCAGAGCGCUGUCUCGGAGAGAGACACGGCGAAAUAGGAUUGUCCGUGAAGAUACGGACUACCUGCACCCGGACAGAAAGACCCUAUGAAGCUUUACUGUAACUUGGAAUUGUGUUCGGACUUUGUCUGCGCAGAAUAGGUGGGAGGCUAUGAAACGUUCCUCGCGGGGAACUGGAGCCAUCGUUGAGAUACCACUCUGGCAGAGUCUGGAUUCUAACCUACGGGGACAGUUCCAGGUGGGCAGUUUGACUGGGGCGGUCGCCUCCUAAAAUGUAACGGAGGCGCGCAAAGGUUCCCUCAGGCUGGUUGGAAAUCAGCCAUAGAGUGUAAAAGCAUAAGGGAGCUUGACUGUGAGACCUACAAGUCGAGCAGGGACGAAAGUCGGCUUUAGUGAUCCGACGGCACUGAGUGGAAGGGCCGUCGCUCAACGGAUAAAAGUUACUCUAAGGAUAACGGGCUGAUCUCCCCCAAGAGUUCACAUCGACGGGGAGGUUUGGCACCUCGAUGUCGGCUCGUCGCAACCUGGGGCGGUAGUACGUCCCAAGGGUUGGGCUGUUCGCCCAUUAAAGCGGCACGUGAGCUGGGUUCAGAACGUCGUGAGACAGUUCGGUCCAUAUCCGGUGUAGGCGUAGGAGCAUUGAAAGGAUCUCUCCUUAGUACGAGAGGACCGGGAGGGACGUACCUCUGGUGUACCUGUUAUCGCGCCAACGGUAAACGCAGGGUAGCCAUGUACGGAGUGGAUAACCGCUGAAAGCAUCUAAGUGGGAAGCCCACCUUAAGAUGAGUGCUCCCUUGAGGCCACGGGAAGACGACCCGUUUGAUAGGCGCUAGGUGGAAGUGCAGUAAUGCAUGCAGCCGAGGCGUACUAAUAGGCCGAUGGCUUGUCC